UCGAGAAUCAUUCACAAUGGGGGAAACCCUGAUGGUGCGACGCCGCGUGGGGGAAGAAGGUCUUCGGAUUGUAAACCCCUGUCAUGUGGGAGCAAGGCGCAAGCUUGAUAGUACCACAAGAGGAAGAGACGGCUAACUCUGUGCCAGCAGCCGCGGUAAUACAGAGGUCUCAAGCGUUGUUCGGAAUCACUGGGCGUAAAGGGUACGUAGGCUGCAUCAUAAGUCGGGCGUGAAAGGCAGGGGCUCAACCCCUGGAGUGCGCUUGAUACUGUGAUGCUAGAGUCAUGGAGGGGGAACCGGAACUCUCGGUGUAGCAGUGAAAUGCGUAGAUAUCGAGAAGAACACUCGUGGCGAAGGCGGGUUCCUGGACAUGUACUGACGCUGAGGUACGAAGGCUAGGGGAGCGAAAG
Molecule: ribosomal RNA, 410 nt
Filed under: uncultured Akkermansia sp.
Lineage: Bacteria; Pseudomonadati; Verrucomicrobiota; Verrucomicrobiia; Verrucomicrobiales; Akkermansiaceae
Also listed under: 1 other name
Description: partial 16S ribosomal RNA
Rfam family: Bacterial small subunit ribosomal RNA
Source: RNAcentral